CAAACAAAUUGAUUUUCGAUCAGGCACAUGACCUGCAGGCGCAAUAUUAAAUCGUUUUCUGAAUACACGCUAAGUUGAAUCGAAUUGAAUUUGAUGAUCGAAGAACUGAAGGAAAAGCAGGCCUCGACAGCGAACGCGUGCUUCUCGUUUGUCCACUGCAUGAUUGAUACUAAACUAAUUUCUCGAAAAAAAUUUAGAUCGCGUGCUUUCGAACGCGCUUUAGGCGUAAGAGUCGCUUU
Molecule: non-coding RNA, 239 nt
Organism: Cinara cedri
Lineage: Eukaryota; Metazoa; Arthropoda; Insecta; Hemiptera; Aphididae
Source: the annotation of a GenBank genome assembly